CCUACGGGUGGCAGCAGUGAGGAAUAUUGGUCAAUGGGCGCUAGCCUGAACCAGCCAAGUAGCGUGAAGGAUGACUGCCCUAUGGGUUGUAAACUUCUUUUAUAAAGGAAUAAAGCGCAGCACGUAUACCUCUUUGCAUGUACUUUAUGAAUAAGGAUCGGCUAACUCCGUGCCAGCAGCCGCGGUAAUACGGAGGAUCCGAGCGUUAUCCGGAUUUAUUGGGUUUAAAGGGAGCGUAGAUGGGUUGUUAAGUCAGUUGUGAAAGUUUGCGGCUCAACCGUAAAAUUGCAAUUGAUACUGGCAGCCUUGAGUACAGUUGAGGUAGGCGGAAUUCGUGGUGUAGCGGUGAAAUGCUUAGAUAUCACGAAGAACCCCGAUUGCGAAGGCAGCUUGCUAAACUGUGACUGACACUGAUGCUCGAAAGUGUGGGUAUCAAACAGGAUUAGAUACCCCAGUAGUC
This 460-nucleotide ribosomal RNA is filed under the name uncultured bacterium. Its description in RNAcentral is "partial 16S ribosomal RNA". It matches the Rfam family "Bacterial small subunit ribosomal RNA", at positions 338 to 795 of the family's 1533-position model. The record is from RNAcentral.